AAUCAAUAACCACAAAUUAUACCCUCUAAGGGGGUAUGUUCUGUGUCAAUAACAUUAACAAAUUAAAUCAAUCGGCGACGUUAGAAAAGAUGCUUAAACUUUUGCGAAAAACAUAAUUAUUGUGCAUCUAGCGACAAAUUUGCAGGUGGAGUUAUGAACUGUUGAUACCUAAAGCACGAUUUAGCAGCAGAUAGUUAAUCAAUUUAAGCAUUUUCCACCUGCCACCAUCCGUUUUCUGAUACGUAACUGAAAUACAGUUGUUUUACAUAAAGGAAGUAGGUAGUUGAUAUCGGUCAACUGAACAGCACAGCGUCUGAUAAAUUGUUCGCCCCAUGGUU
Long non-coding RNA from Dendroctonus ponderosae (mountain pine beetle), 338 nucleotides. RefSeq lists it as uncharacterized. The transcript is spliced from 2 exons. The record is from RefSeq and is a predicted model, not a curated record. Lineage: Eukaryota; Metazoa; Arthropoda; Insecta; Coleoptera; Curculionidae.